AGGACCAGAACUUUACAGAGGUAAACUGUGUCUGUUCUUUUUACUAUUACAGUUCAUCGUGGCCCUGUCGUUCUCCUCCUUCACCAAAUCUCUGUCAGGGACCUACAUGAAGAGUGCCAUCACUCAGAGAAACACUUUGACCUGUCCAGCUCUCUCAUCGGACUCAUAGACGGCAGCUUUGAGAUGGGUAACCUGCUGUUCCUGGCUGUGGUCAGCCAUUUGGGGGCGAAGCUGCACCGGCCCAGGCUCAUUGCUAUGGGCUGUUUCCUCAUGGCUGUAGGAUCCUUCCUCACAGGCCUGCCACACUUCUUCAUGGGACGGUAAAACAACUGAAAUUAAACUUGUACUUGUAGAGAUACUCCAAUGCGGAGGAUAGUUUCACUUUAGAAAUAAAGAAAUGUAUCCAGUUUUUGAUUAAUCUCAGUUAACUUUGAACUAAAGUCUUGCGUAAUUGGUCAGCUGCUUGAUUAUGUUUUGGGGCCAUACAUGUUAAGAGAAGGGAUUAAGAGAUGCUAUAACUGAAGUGGUAAGGUUGGACCCAGGUGCAGAGAAGAGACCAGAAGAUGAAGCAGUGGUUCCAACCAGUGUCUCCACUGCUCAAGGGCCCACUUAACUGCCAAAAGCUCCCAGUUGUAUACAUCGUAGUUGCCUUCCGCUGGCGAGACCUGCUUGGAGUGAAAGGAGCAUGGGUGCAGUUUCUUGUCCUCCUUGUUCCACUGUGAAAGGACCACACCAGCUCCGGUGUCCGGGGCUUCCACCUCUACCAAAGGUUCUCCAGAGGGUAGUGAGGUCUGCACAACGCAUCACCGGGGGCAAACUACCUGCCCUCCAGGACACCUACACCACCCGAUGUUACAGGAAGGCCAUAAAGAUCAUCAAGGACAUCAACCACC
Molecule: long non-coding RNA, 893 nt
Organism: Oncorhynchus masou masou (cherry salmon)
Lineage: Eukaryota; Metazoa; Chordata; Actinopteri; Salmoniformes; Salmonidae
Exons: 3
Source: RefSeq, a predicted model, not a curated record